AUUGAACGCUGGCGGCAGGCCUAACACAUGCAAGUCGAAUGGUAACAGGAAACAGCUUGCUGUUUCGCUGACGAGCGGCGGACGGGUGAGUAAUGUCUGGGAAACUGCCUGAUGGAGGGGGAUAACUACUGGAAACGGUAGCUAAUACCGCAUAACGUCGCAAGACCAAAGAGGGGGACCUUCGGGCCUCUUGCCAUCAGAUGUGCCCAGAUGGGAUUAGCUAGUAGGUGGGGUAACGGCUCACCUAGGCGACGAUCCCUAGCUGGUCUGAGAGGAUGACCAGCCACACUGGAACGGAGACACGGUCCAGACUCCUACGGGAGGCAGCAGUGGGGAAUAUUGCACAAUGGGCGCAAGCCUGAUGCAGCCAUGCCGCGUGUAUGAAGAAGGCCUUCGGGUUGUAAAGUACUUUCAGCGGGGAGGAAGGGAGUAAAGUUAAUACCUUUGCUCAUUGACGUUACCCGCAGAAGAAGCACCGGCUAACUCCGUG
This 490-nucleotide ribosomal RNA is filed under the name uncultured bacterium. RNAcentral's name for it is "partial 16S ribosomal RNA". It matches the Rfam family "Bacterial small subunit ribosomal RNA", at positions 30 to 507 of the family's 1533-position model. The record is from RNAcentral.